Non-coding RNA from Aegilops tauschii subsp. strangulata, 1482 nucleotides. The record is from RefSeq and is a predicted model, not a curated record. NCBI's taxonomy places the organism in Eukaryota, Viridiplantae, Streptophyta, Magnoliopsida, Poales, Poaceae.
UCCCACUCCCACUCCCAGUCAGCCCCCAUCGAAGGCCGGGAGCUUCCAGGAGUUAGGGUUUUCCGUACGGAUCGAUGGCCGUCGCCGACGCGGUGCUACCCUCGCCGCCACCGCCGCCGCGGAUCGUAGUCGCGGUGCUGGCGCUCGUGCGCUUCGUCCUCGACCCGCUGCCGGCGCUCGAGUGCGCCCUCCCCGUCGUGGCGGGGGUCCUCCGCUACCUUUGCUUCACCGUUGCGUGGAUUCUCUCCGCGGCCGAGGCUGCCAAGGUGGUGGCGCGCCGCGCCUGGGACGAGGGCUCCGCCUCCUUCCUGUUCCUCAAGACGCUCAUGGACUUGGCUUUCGUGGUCUUCGCCUGCAGCUCCCUUGUCUCGCUCGCGCUUGCCGCGCUGCUCUUAUGCCCGUCCUCUGCGUGGCGUACGCGGUUGCAGUUCUCUCUGGAUCCGGGUCAGAAUUCAAGAAGGGUGCCUUGGGAGCAAUCAAGUGGGAGUUGGCUCCAGACUCGCACAGGCUACCUCGCUAUGUGGUGCUUGGAUUGAUCCUAGAUGUGUCAGGCCCUGUUUGUUUCAUAAGUCCUAAGACUUUUUUAAGUCCCGAGUCCCUACCUGUUUGUUACAGGAUUUAUCAUGGGCUAGAGGUUAUUAAAUGACAUGCUAAAAGACCCAAAUCACCACUAUAAGUCCCUAUAAGUUCCUUCCUGAGAGUCUUUUUUGAUAAGUCCCAAAUCACCACUUUAAGUCCCUAUAAGUCCCUCCUGUUUGGUUUAGAUGGGACUUAUAGGGACUUUUUUAAGUCCCUAAACCAAUAUGUCCCUGGAAACAAACACCCUCUCAUUCUUCCUCCUAUUUGGCGCCGGUCUUCUGUUAGCCACGUUGUCGCAUGUGGAGGGAUCGAUAUCUCAUGGAGAAAUGGUUGGUUCUGUACUCAAGGAUGUGGGGAUAAUUGGUAUCAACGCGAUAUCCUGCUUUUUUAUCCUUCCGGCUCAAGCACUUGGUGCCUGGAGGCAGGGCCAGGCGGACAGCAAAGCACCAUCGCAGUUUUGUUGAGAUGAAGCUAUGAAGAGAAGAUGUCCGGGGAAUGUGGCAAGGAGCCACAGUUCCAAUUCCGCUGGUGGUUGUGACUUGUGACUUAGGAGUGAUCCCAAGAGAUGCAAGUUUUCAGAGGAAAAGGAAUCUUUGCAGGCUUGCUCCUUUCUACUAUUAGUAGACCCUAAUCGUCAUUAGCCAUGAACACGUUUGCAGACUUGCUUAUUUCUGGUAUUACUAGAUCGUAAUCAUCUAUAGCCGUGAAGUUUGGUGGGUCAUUAUGGGUGUGGUGAUGAUGUUUUACUCCGGGCUACUUGCUUAGAAGUUUGCACCAGAGUAUUGGUGUGUAUAUGAUGGUAGAAUUCGUGCUCUCUGUUUGUAAUAGCCAUAUCGGAAGACAAUGAUUCCACGAGACAUUAAUCUGGUGAUGAAUUGGUAUGACUGUCGUCGGUUUGCACUA